RNAcentral lists this ribosomal RNA (228 nucleotides) under uncultured bacterium. Its description in RNAcentral is "partial 16S ribosomal RNA". It matches the Rfam family "Bacterial small subunit ribosomal RNA", at positions 568 to 795 of the family's 1533-position model. The record is from RNAcentral.
UGCGUAGGCGGAAUAUUAAGUCAGUGGUGAAAUCCUGCGGCUCAACCGUAGAACUGCCAUUGAUACUGAUAUUCUUGAAUGUAGUUGAGGUAGGCGGAAUGUGUAAUGUAGCGGUGAAAUGCUUAGAUAUUACACAGAACACCGAUUGCGAAGGCAGCUUACUAAACUAUGAUUGACGCUGAGGCACGAAAACGUGGGGAGCGAACAGGAUUAGAUACCCUGGUAGUC